This 293-nucleotide ribosomal RNA is filed under the name uncultured bacterium. Its description in RNAcentral is "partial 16S ribosomal RNA". It matches the Rfam family "Bacterial small subunit ribosomal RNA", at positions 505 to 796 of the family's 1533-position model. The record is from RNAcentral.
GUGUCAGCAGCCGCGGUAAGACAGAGGGUGCGAACGUUGCUCGGAAUUACUGGGCGUAAAGCGUGUGUAGGCGGCCACGCAAGUCGGAUGUGAAAGCCCUGGGCUCAACCCAGGAAGUGCACCCGAUACUGCGACGGCUUGAGUACCGGAGAGGUUGGUGGAAUUCUCGGUGUAGAGGUGAAAUUCGUAGAUAUCGAGAGGAACACCGGUGGCGAAGGCGGCCAACUGGACGAGUACUGACGCUGAGACACGAAAGCGUGGGGAGCAAACAGGAUUAGAAACCCGCGUAGUCC